Small nuclear RNA from Callithrix jacchus (white-tufted-ear marmoset), 107 nucleotides. The record is from Ensembl. NCBI's taxonomy places the organism in Eukaryota, Metazoa, Chordata, Mammalia, Primates, Cebidae.
GUGCUGUCUUCGGCAGCACAUAUACUUAAAUUGGAAGAACACAGAGAUGAUUAGCAUGGCCCCUGCAAAAGGAAGACAUGCAAAUUCUAAAGCAUUUCAUGUUUUAU